UUGAGGUUUAUUCUCGCAUCCGCUGUCUAGCGUUGAUAGCGUUGUUCAUUCUUAUACUUACAAUGUGAAGGAACUAAAAUUCAUCUUCAGUCGAACAGAGUGUGAUAACCUUGGCCAAGCGCCUUCCUUCUUGUUGACUGUGCAGUUUUCUGGUGGAUUUCAGUUGUAAUAAUCGGGAAUCAUGAGAAUAAGGUCAUGGUUUUAUUGGAUUGCAUUAGCUUACGGAUUACUAGAAGCACAUGCCCAGUCCGGUCAACGAGAUGUAGAAGCAUAUGAUGCAGCAAAUAAUAGAUGGGAAGUGGUUCGCUUUUGGAUUCGACCACAAUCGACGCAACCUACCGGAGAAGCACAGCCGAAUACAUCAGAUGAAUCAAGCCAUACUAGUCAGAAUACUCGAAAAGGCCAUGAGAAGAUAAUUAAAGUGUUCGAUCCCAGUACAUCUUCAUGGAUAGAAAAGAAGUUCUAUUUCUGAGAUACAUUAUGAUCAGGAAUUAUUAUUUUGUUGGUGUUCCACAAAAAUAGAAAACAAAGGAAACAGUGUAUAAACCUUUUUUUGUAUUUAUUAUGAAGACUUACAGCACUAAGCUGGCUCGUCACUAUAGUGUAUAAACGUGUUGUUCAUCAGCUUAUUUGAAGUACAUAGACAUUUCCAUGUACUUAAGCUUAAAUUCUCUCGUAAAGUCAUAUGGUUUGUUACAAAAUAGUGAAGUGAGUGAAUAGCACUCUGUUGGAAUGGUUCCGAUCGUAUCUCUUCGGCCACUGGCUAACCGGUGCUGUCGGCGACUGCAGAUCUGAUUCCUUCGUACUAAUUCGGCCAAAUGUUCGACGAGAACUUUUUAUCGGAUAAAAAAUCCUGUUAGAUUCGACUACACGCUUUUGAAUACCAUCAUAGAAUGUCUGACUCAUGUCAAAGACUUGGGCAUAAUUCUGGAUUCUCAACUGCAUGCACAUCUCGUACGUUGUAGGUAAGGCUUCCAAACCCCGGGGCUUUAUCUUUCGUAUAGAUGAAGAAUUUACUGACAUUUCCUGUCUAAAGUCUCUGUACUGCUCACUGGUGCGGUCGUUACUGGAGUAUUGCUCCGCUGUUUGGAAUCUCAAUUAUAUGAACGAUACAGAACGAGUUGAUUCUGUGCAACGAUUUGCACUGCGUAGACUACCGUGGAGAGAUCCAUUACGUCUGCCUGCCAAGUUAUGAAAGACGCUACCGGCUUAUCGAUUUGGACCAACAAAGGAAUAAUCGUAACACCGCUCGGGAUGUACUCGUUGCAGAUUUUUUGCAAGGCCGAAUAGAUUGUAGUAAUAUUUUGGAGCAGAAUAAUAUUUUAAAACAUUAAAAAGUACGGCCGAGAGCACUUCGAAAUAACGCUAUGUUAAGAAUGACGAUUCUUAUCAAGAAUCUGUUAAUCACGUGUUAUUGUACGUAGUCUAAAUACCCUGUAUGUUUCUUAUCUUUGGGUUUUUAACCUGACAUACGAAAAUAAUAAAUACGGAUUUGUA
Armigeres subalbatus is the source of this 1497-nucleotide long non-coding RNA. RefSeq lists it as uncharacterized. The transcript has 2 exons. The record is from RefSeq and is a predicted model, not a curated record. NCBI's taxonomy places the organism in Eukaryota, Metazoa, Arthropoda, Insecta, Diptera, Culicidae.